AAGCAACACAUAUUUCUAAAAUAACCAUACAAGGCACUAUAUUAUCAAAAUAUUUAAGUAAUUCAAAUCAACACUCCCUAAACAACCAAAUCCAAAAUACAAGACACUUAAUAAUUAAUCCAACAACUACCAAAAUAUUAAAAAAUCCUAAAGUUUUUUCAGUUGAGUCUACAGAUGUCCGAGAUUUCUUUUUAGCAAUUGACUUUGAACUCUUAUAAGGACGAGGUCAAUCAGCGUCACCAGCGGAUGUCAUCUGUAUGCAAGUUUACAUCAAAACAUAUAAAAAUCAAGUC
Molecule: long non-coding RNA, 293 nt
Filed under: Capsicum annuum
Lineage: Eukaryota; Viridiplantae; Streptophyta; Magnoliopsida; Solanales; Solanaceae
Description: long non-coding RNA (CANN_LNC016395)
Source: RNAcentral